GACGAACGCUGGCGGCGUGCUUAACACAUGCAAGUCGAACGGAAAGGCCCUGCUUUUGUGGGGUGCUCGAGUGGCGAACGGGUGAGUAACACGUGAGUAACCUGCCCUUGACUUUGGGAUAACUUCAGGAAACUGGGGCUAAUACCGGAUAGGAGCUCCUGCUGCAUGGUGGGGGUUGGAAAGUUUCGGCGGUUGGGGAUGGACUCGCGGCUCAUCAGCUUGUUGGUGGGGUAGUGGCUUACCAAGGCUUUGACGGGUAGCCGGCCUGAGAGGGUGACCGGCCACAUUGGGACUGAGAUACGGCCCAGACUCCUACGGGAGGCAGCAGUGGGGAAUAUUGCACAAUGGGCGGAAGCCUGAUGCAGCAACGCCGCGUGCGGGAUGACGGCCUUCGGGUUGUAAACCGCUUUCGCCUGUGACGAAGCGU
This 427-nucleotide ribosomal RNA is filed under the name Cutibacterium acnes. Its description in RNAcentral is "bacterial SSU rRNA". It matches the Rfam family "Bacterial small subunit ribosomal RNA", at positions 28 to 453 of the family's 1533-position model. The record is from RNAcentral. Lineage: Bacteria; Bacillati; Actinomycetota; Actinomycetes; Propionibacteriales; Propionibacteriaceae.